GUUUCUCUUUCCCCCUCUCUCUAUUUUUUGCCUCUUCUUGGGUUAAAUAUUUUUUCAUCGUCCCAUUUUUUUCACUUCUGUUUGGUUACAGUCUGUUUCUGUUCUUUUAGGGGUUUCUAUAGAAAUUACAAUAUUCGUAUAUUAGGCAUCAAAUUCUAAAGUUAAUCUAUUUUUCCUAAUAUACGUUAACAUGUUAUUUUUAACAUAUAUUUUAAUUAUAUUUUUAUUUAAUCUCAUAAGACCUUAUUAUUUUAUACAGUGUUCAUUUAGAUUUAUCCUCAUUACAAUGUUCAGCAGCCGUUUAUCUCUUUAUAUUCAUGGGCCAAACUCCUGAAGUCUGUUGUUUGGAUGGUGGUAUGGAAAGGAGCAGAAGGACCUUGCAUAUUGUGGUAUUGUGGUUUAUAAUAAAUAUGUAUUUGGUGGUUCGUCCAGUUUCUGGCACAGAAGUCCUAAAAUUCUUGGAAUUUCCGAAUUGAUAAGUGUCCUAAAAGUGUCGUUUGUUAGGUUACUGAGGUGACUUUUGGAAAGCCCCUCAGUCGCCUAAGAUUAGGGACUAGCCAUGUGCUUAGGUGAAUGGAACUUUCAGUUCCAUCCCUUGAUUUCCAGGGAGGGGAGAGGGGCUGGAGGCUGAGCCAGUCACCAUGGCGGAUGAGUUAAUCAUGGCUUUGUGAUGAAGCCUCCAUAAAAACAUGAAAGAAUGGGGUCCAGAGACCCUCCAGGGUUGGCGCACCCAGGGCGGCACAGGGAGAGCGGCGUAGGGGGAGCGGCGUGCCGGGAGAGGGUAGGGAGGCUGCGGGCCCCUUCCUACAUCCCUGGCCCUAUGUACCGAUCACUUCAUCUGGCUGCUGAUUCAUAUCCUUUAAUAUCCUUUGUUAGAAACUGGCUAUCUAGUGAGUUUAUGGGUUCUCCGAGUUCUGUGAGCCGCUCUAGCAAAUUAAACCCAAGGAGGGGGUUUGGGAACCUCUGAUUUGUAACCAGUCUGGUCAGAAACACAGGUAACAGCCUGGGCUCGAAACUGUCACAUGAAGUGGGGUCAGGCUUGUGGGACCCAGCCCUUUCCCUGUGGAAUCUGGCUGUCUCUGGGUAGAUAGCAUCAGAAUUGAGUUAAUUGCGGGGUACCUGGGGUCUCAGUUGGUUAAGCAUCUGCCUUUGGCUCAGGUCAUGAUCCCAGGGUCCCGGGAUUGAGCCUCCUGCAUUGGGCUCUCCGCUCAGUGGGGGAGUCUGCUUCUCCCUCUAACCCUCCCCCCUCUUGUGCUCUCACUCACUCUCAAAUAAGUAAGUAAAAUCUUAAAAAAAAAAAAAUUGAGUCAAUUACUUGGUGGUGUGGGGAAUCCCUCUACCCCCCCAAACACAUUGGAAUUGGUAUCAAAUCAUUAAUAUAGUUCAACACUUUGAAGAAAGUAAAGAUGCAAAAGGCCUGAUUUAUGCAGAAAGUUACUCAGCUGCUCUUCCCACUCCUCAGCUGGUGCUAGAACUAAGCAGAGGAAUCAUUUUCUUGGUGUGAUGCCUGGAUUGAAACACACCAGGGUAGGCCAAUUUGCCGUUCUCUAAAACUCAUUUUUGGCUCCCACCUACCCCGGGUUGAGUUGGAAAUGUGUGAAUUGAAGCCUGAGUUGAGAAUGAACUGGGGCCUUGAAGCUCCUAAACACUUAUUACUUGAGAGGAUGUGUAGGAAAGGACCUUUAAUCCUGUAAUAUGUGUAACACAUGUAAUAUAUGUAGCAUAUGGAAGGUGGAACUGACCAGAAAUGUGAAUGGGAAGUAGGUAAUCGAGAGAGAAGGUACUGCAUAUUCUAUAUUAAGAACUUUUAAAAGUAAGUAAAAACUAGAGCAAGCCAAGUUAAAAAAAAAUCCCAAAUUUGACCAAACUUAGUUAUAACUUUAACUUGAUUUAUUGCAACAUCACUGUAUCUCUGCAGGUCUGGUUUCCCUGGUAUCUCGAGAACAUUUUGGGUAAAAUCCAUACUUGAGGCUCAGCCAUAAGUCUCAUGCUUGAAAAUAAUUAAGUUCUUGAUUCCAGCUAAUUUUAUUUCUUUCUCUUAUAUUACUAACGCUCCUGUCCUUUUGGAAAUUGGAAUGUAGAAUGCCAUGUGGCAAAUGUUAAGAAGUGGGAAAAGCUGUUGGAAAAUGAUCUGAUGUCAAUUUACUUUUCUCUUUGGAGCAGAGCAAUCCUUUCCCCAGUGCCUGGGCCUGGAUCUUCUGCCUCAGGCGGCAGACAAGAGGGUGGCUGUCGCUGCUGGAUUCACUCAUGGUUGCUCUUGGACAGAUCAAGGAUCCCCACUCGGUAUAAAUGGGUCAGACGAGUUUGGACAUGUCUGAACGGUGGCCUGGGCUCCCCGGAAGCCUGCUUGGGUCUGGGUUGGAUGUCUGUCAUGCCCCCCUCCUCGGGGCCAGCGCGCUGGCUUCAUGAGCUCCUCUCCGGUCACCCCAAAGUUCCAGACCCUCCAUGUACUACAGGGCUCAGCGCCCGAAGUGGGUGAGCCUGAAACACCACCAUGAUGUCCACUGUCUCAUCCUUUGAUCCAGCAUCUCCUCUUCAAGUUUCUUCUCCAGGUGAUGAGCCAGGCACAAAGAGACCUCCAGGAUCAGAGUUGGUUGGUGACCACCAGUGCUGGGAUCCAGAUGUCCUCAUUCUCUGCUUUUUCCCUUUAUAGCCAAUUAACACUUUCUCUGUCAAAAAUAGUAUCCGAGAGUACUGUUGGUUUAAAAUGUUAAAAAAAAAAAAAAGGCGCCUUGCCAAUUUAGGAUGGAUUUUAGUUUUGAGAUUCUAAUUUGGGAACCGCGGGGUGGGGGUGGGGGGACGGGGGAAUAA
Molecule: long non-coding RNA, 2811 nt
Organism: Ailuropoda melanoleuca (giant panda)
Lineage: Eukaryota; Metazoa; Chordata; Mammalia; Carnivora; Ursidae
Exons: 3
Source: RefSeq, a predicted model, not a curated record